Molecule: ribosomal RNA, 363 nt
Filed under: uncultured bacterium
Lineage: Bacteria
Description: bacterial SSU rRNA
Rfam family: Bacterial small subunit ribosomal RNA
Source: RNAcentral
ACGUAAUAGAUACCCGGGUAGUCCACGCCCUAAACGAUGUCUACUAGUUGUUGGUGGAGUAAAAUCCAUGAGUAAACGCAGCUAAACGCGUGAAGUAGACCGCCUGGGGAGUACGGUCGCAAGAUUAAAACUCAAAGGAAUUGACGGGGCCCGGCACAAGCGGUGGAUUAUGUGGAUUAAUUACGAUGCAACGCGAAAAACCUUAACCUUGGCCGUUGUACAUGCCACUAACGAAGCAGAGAUGCAUUAGGUGCCCGUAACGGGAAAGUGGACACAGGUGCUGCAUGGCUGUCGUCAGCUCGUGUCGUGAGAUGUUGGGUUAAGUCCCGCAACGAGCGCAACCCUUGCCAUUAAUUGCCAUCA